RNAcentral lists this transfer RNA (70 nucleotides) under Loxodonta africana (African savanna elephant). It matches the Rfam family "tRNA". From Rfam's summary of the family: Transfer RNA (tRNA) molecules are approximately 80 nucleotides in length. The record is from Rfam by way of RNAcentral. Lineage: Eukaryota; Metazoa; Chordata; Mammalia; Proboscidea; Elephantidae.
GCAUUGGUAGUUCAGUGGUAGAAUUUUCACCUUCCAUGUAGAGACCUGGGUUCAAUUCCUGGCCACUGCA